RNAcentral lists this ribosomal RNA (654 nucleotides) under uncultured bacterium. RNAcentral describes it as "bacterial SSU rRNA". It matches the Rfam family "Bacterial small subunit ribosomal RNA", at positions 202 to 842 of the family's 1533-position model. The record is from RNAcentral.
AAAAGGCGGCGUAAGCUGUCGCUAAAGGAUGGACCCGCGGUGCAUUAGCUAGUUGGUAAGGUAACGGCUUACCAAGGCGACGAUGCAUAGCCGAGUUGAGAGACUGAUCGGCCACAUUGGGACUGAGACACGGCCCAAACUCCUACGGGAGGCAGCAGUAGGGAAUCUUCCACAAUGGGCGAAAGCCUGAUGGAGCAACGCCGCGUGAGUGAAGAAGGUUUUCGGAUCGUAAAGCUCUGUUGUUGGUGAAGAAGGAUAGAGGUAGUAACUGGCCCCUAUUUGACGGUAAUCAACCAGAAAGUCACGGCUAACUACGUGCCAGCAGCCGCGGUAAUACGUAGGUGGCAAGCGUUGUCCGGAUUUAUUGGGCGUAAAGCGAGCGCAGGCGGAAAGAUAAGUCUGAUGUGAAAGCCCCCGGCUUAACCGAGGAAUUGCAUCGGAAACUGUGUUCCUUGAGUGCAGAAGAGGAGAGUGGAACUCCAUGUGUAGCGGUGGAAUGCGUAGAUAUAUGGAAGAACACCAGUGGCGAAGGCGGCUCUCUGGUCUGUAACUGACGCUGAGGCUCGAAAGCAUGGGUAGCGAACAGGAUUAGAUACCCUGGUAGUCCAUGCCGUAAACGAUGAGUGCUAAGUGUUGGGAGGUUUCCGCCUCUCA